AUAAGUACCUGUCCAUCUCCCACAUGUUUACUUUAAAACUCUGAGCAUAUAGUUACUUCCCUUCCAUAAUUAAAUUUCUUUAUUCCCUUUUGUCUCCUUAUGCUGAGUUACCCAUAUUAUAUAGUUGAGGAGUUUGUCUUGCCCACAGAGUAAUCAGAAUCCACCCAGCCUUUGUAGUCUGCUUACAGUCAUUUUUCAAAGAUACCAGUCUCUGUGGGGGAAGUUAGUAUGUAGUGAGAGCAAGGCAGGUGGCUGUGAUUCACUGGCCUGUCCCUUCUCCUACCCCUCCCCCCACCUUUGUCCUUUCUCAUGCAACUCACCCACACCAGGGACCAUGGGGUGGUGAAGCUGUCUUGUUUGUCAGUCAGGUUUCUGUUCACACGGGGAAGACAUGGUCUCAUGGGGACCUAGUACUGGCACAGAGUUGGGAUAUAUUUAUGUAUAGGAGAGGGCACCCAUUAGUUAGUAUUGUAUGAGUUAGCAGCAGCCUCACCCCUGUUGAUUUAAGUAGCUAACACACCCGUCACAGGGAUUUGACUGUGUGGUGCCAGUUACCAUAUUUGCCAGCAUAUUAAAUGUACCUCUGCAUAAGACACAUCCCAUUUUAUAAGAAUUUUUUGUGAAAAAAAUUUUUCAUCAUAAAUUUAUUAGAAAAAAUUAUAGGGUGUGUGUGUGUGUGUGUGUGUGUGUGUGUGUGUGUGUGUGUGUGUGUGUGUGUGUGUGUGUGUGUGUGUGUGUGUGUGUGUGUGUGUGUGUGUGUGUGUGUGUGUGUGUGUGUGUUCAUUUUUUAUAUGAGGGCCACUGGCCAAGUUAUAAUAAUAAAAAGAAAGGCCCACUUAAUGUCAGUUCCCAUAGAGAUGUCAGAUAGAAUAAUAAUAAUAAAAAAAGGAGAAUGAGUGUCUUGAAACCUUCCUCUUGAAAGAGUUCAAGUCAUAGGAAGGAGAAAAUGCAAAAGCAGGCAGGGAGUCCCAGAGUUUACCAGAGAAAGGGAUGAAUGACUGAGAAUACUAGUUAACUCUUGCAUUAAAAGUGGUCAGAAUAAGGAUGAGAGAAAGAAGAAAGUCUUGUGCCAUGAGGCUGCAGGAGGUGAGAAAUGCAGUUGGCAAGAUCAGGAGAGCAAUUAGCUUGUAAAUACUGGUAGAAAAUAGCAAAAGAUGCAAUAUUGUGGUGAUGAGAAAGAGGCUGAAGACAGCCAGUUUUGAGGAGAGAAGAUGAUAAAAUUCCACCCUGUUUAAAUUGCGGUAUGAGUGGAGCCCCCCCACCAAACACGUGAUGCAAACUCCAGAUAAGGACAGAUAAGGCCCCAGUACAGGAUUAGCAGCUGGUUGGGGAAAUGUGAUGGAGAUGGAAAAAGUGCAAGGAGACCUACACGGAACUAUAAAAUGGGGGAAGAUAAGAUAAUGAAAAGUAAUAAAGAAAAGGAUUUGGGGGUGAUUAUCCAGGACACAUUGUCACCAGAGAAACAUGAAGAAGAAUGUGAGGAAACUGGAAAGAAUAUGGAGGACAGCAAUGAAGAUGGUGCCAGAAUUGAAGGAAAAGACUUAUGAAGAGCAAUUGGAAGAAAUGAAAUUAAUAAAACUGGAAGAGAGAAGAGAAAGGGGAGACUUGAUAACAAUGUACAAAUUAAUAAACUACAUGGAAAAGAUAGACCAACAAGUUUUGGAGAUGCAUAUAAAUGAGGGAACAAGAUGUAUAAGAGGACAUACAAAAAAGAUGAAGAGUAAAGAGUGCUGCAUCAUACCAGAUGUGAGAACAAAACACACUCUUUUAGGGAUUUUGGUGAAACUUUUGCUGUUGGUGAAACUUUUGCUAUUACCUUAGACAUAUCAAAAGGCUAUGACAGAGUGGCACAAGGCAUUGAUUUCCAAACUACCAUCCUACUGCUCUCUGUAACUUCAUCUUAAGCUUCCUUUCUAAACAUUCUAUUGCUGCUGUGGUAGAUAGUUCUUCUUCAAAGUCUAUUAGCAGUGGUGUUCCUCAGGAUUUUGUCCUGUCACCCACUCUCUUCCUCUUAUUCAUCAUUGAUCUUCUAAACCAAACUUCUUGUCCUAUCCACUCCUACACUGAUACCACCCUGCACUUUUUCACAUCUUUCUGUAGACACCCAACCCUUUAGGAUGUAAACAGCUCACAGAGAGAAGGCACAGAAUGCCUGACUUCUGAUCUCUCUAAAAUUUCUGAUUGGGGUAGAGCAAACUUACUAAUGUUCAAUGCCUCAAAAACUCAAUUCUUCCAUCUAUCAACUCAACACAAGCUUCCAAAUAUCUAUCCCCUCUUCCUCAAUGAUACUCAAACUGUCCCCCCUCUUCUACAAUAAACAUCCUUGGUCUGUCCUUCACUUAUAAUCUAAACAGGAAAUUUCACAUCUCAUCUCUAGCUAAAACAGGUUCUAUGAAGUUGGCAUUCUGUCAUCUUUGCCAGUUUUUCUCACCCUCCACCAGCUGCUAGCUCUGUACAGGGGCCUUAUCUGUCCAUGUAUGGAGUUUGCUUCAUGUGUGUUGGGGGAAGGGGAGGUUUGAUGCAUAUACUCUUUUGGCCAGAGUGGAAUAGAAAAAUUUUUUGUUUCAUCAACUCUUCUCCUCUGACUGUAUUCUGCCUCUUUCUUGUCAUCUCAGUAUUGCAUCUCUUGCUAUCUUCUACCAGUCUUUUCACGCUAACUGCUCUUCUGAUCUUGCUAACUGCAUGCCUCUCCUUGUCCUGCAGCCUCACGGCACAAAACUUUCUUCUUUCUCUCAUCCCUAUUCUGUCCACCUCUCUAAUGCAAGAGUAUUCACAAUCACUCAUCCCUUUCUCUGGUAAACUCUGGAACUCCCUGCUUGCUUCUGUAUUUCCUCCUUCCUAUGACUUGAACUCUUUCAAGAGGGAGGUUUAAAGACACUUAUCCUAUGAUUUUUUUUAUUAUUCUAUCUGACAUCUCUAUGGGAACUGGUAUGAAGUGGGCCUUUCUCUUUUAAUUAGAAAUUUUUGUUGCCCUCGGCCAGUGGCCCUCACAUAUAAACAACACACACAUACAUAUAGUAUAAUUUUUUUCAAUAAACUUAUGAUGAAACAUAAUAACAUUAACAUUUUUUCCACAAAUUUUUUUUGUAAACUAGGGGUGUGUCUUAUGUAGAGGUGUGUUUAAUAUGCUGGCAAACACAGUAUUUUCUUUGUUAUCUAUAUAGUAUUACCAUUACUUUAAUUGUAACCUUUCUUUAUAAUAUAUUUAUUAUUUGAUAAUAUGUAAACUUUUGCCAUCCAUGGUGCUGGUGGCAGUCAGUUCUGUCAGAGUGAUGUUGGCAGUGCUCGGGUAUGUGGCAUGUUCGAUUGACAGUCUUGCCACUGAAUAGAGCCAUAUGUAAAUCUUGUAAAUACACAGAAACACUAGUGACCUGGCAUUUCCACAUCCCUGCUAAUUCUUACUGAACUAAAUAUAAAAAAAAACAGAACCAGAGAGAGAAGACUACCAUUACUGAGUACAGCACUGACAACUUUGUCUGAGUCAACUUCAAUGAUUUACCAUAACAGAGUGACAAACCAUCAUUAAAUAUCCAUAAGCUCAGUGACUUCACAAGUUAUAGCUAAUACCAGCAGGAAAGCAUUCUUCAUAGACACAUCUCUUAUAAAGGUCAAACGAAGUGGUUCAUAAACGAAGUGGUUCAUGGUUUUAAUAAUGAACAGCACACUAAUGAAAGAUGCUACAUCUUUGCCAAAAUAGGCGGAUGUGACACAGCUAUCUGCCUUCAAAAGUUUUUUUUUUUUUAUGUAGGAAGGACACUGGCCAGGGACAACAAAAAUCCAAUUAAAAAAAAAUGCCCACUGAAAUGCCAGUUCCAUAAAAGGGGCAAAGCAGUAGUCAAAAAUUGAUGGAUAAGUGUCCUGAAAUCUCCUUCUUGAAGGAAUUCAAGUCAUAGGAAGGUGGAAAUACAGAAGCAAGCAGGGAGUUCCAGAGUUUACCAGAGAAAGGGAUGAACUCUUGCAUCAGAGAGGUGGACAGAAAAGGGGUGAGAGAAAGAAGAAAGUCUUGUGCAGCGAGGCCGCGGGAGGAGGGAAGGCAUGCAGUUAGCAAGAUCAGAAGAUCAGUUAGCGUGAAAAUAGCGGUAGAAGACAGCUAGAAAUGCAACAUUGGAGUGGUGAGAGAGAGGCUGAAGACGGUCAGUUAGAGGAGAGGAGUUGAUGAGAUAAAAAGCUUUUGAUUCCACCCUGUCUAGAAGAGCAGUAUGAGUGGAACCCCCCCAGACAUGUGAAGCAUACUCCAUACAUGGACGGAUAAGGCCCUUGUACAGAGUUAGCAGCUGGGGGAAUGAGACGUCUCAGAACGUCUAACUUCAAAGAAGCUGUUUUUGCUAGAGAUGAGAUGUGAAGUUUCCAGUUCAGAUUAUAAGUAAAGGACAGACCAAGGAUGUUCAGUGUAGAAGAGGGAGACAAUUGAGUGUCACUGAAGAAGAGGCGAUAGUUGUCUGGAAGGUUGUGUUGAGCUGAUAGAUGGAGGAAUUGAGUUUUUGAGGCAUUGAGCAAUACCAAGUUUGCUCUGCCCCAAUCAGAAAUUUUAGAAAGAUCAAAAGUCAAGCAUUCUGUGGCUUCCCUACGUGAAAUGUUUACCUCCUGAAGGGUUGGAUGUCUAUGAAAAGAUGUGGAAAAGUGCAGGGUGGUAUCAUCAGCGUAGGAGUGGAUAGGACAAGAAGUUUGGUUUAGAUCAUUAAUGAAUAAUAAGAAGAGAGUGGGUGACAGGACAGAACCCUGAGGAAUACCACUGUUAAUAGAUUUAGGAGAAGAACAGUGACCGUCUACCACAGCAGCAAUAGAACAGUCAGAAAGGAAACUUGAGAUGAAGUUACAGAGAGAAGGAUAGAAGCCAUAGGAGGAUAGUUUAGAAAUCAAAGCUUUGUGCCAGACUCUAUCAAAAGCUUUUGAUAUGUCCAAGGCAACAGCAAAAGUUUCACCAAAAUCUCUAAAUGAGGAUGACCAAGACUCAGUAAGGAAUGCCAGAAGUUCACCAGUAGAGCGGCCCUGACAGAACCCAUGCUGGCGAUCAGAUAGAAGGUUGUGAAGUAAUAGAUGUUUAAGAAUCUUUCUGUUGAGGAUAGAUUAAUAAACUUUAGAUAAGCAGGAAAUUAAAGCAAUAGGAUGGUAGUUUGAGGGAUUAGAACGGUCACCCUUUUUAGGAACAGGCUGAAUGUAGGCAAACUUCCAGCAAGAAGGGAAGGUAGAUGUUGACAGACAGAGUUGAAAGAGUUUGACUAGGCAAGGUGCAAGCAUGGGGGCACAGUUUCGGAGAACAAUAGGAGGGACCCCAUCAGGUCCAUAAGCCUUCUGAGGGUUUAGACCAGCAAGGGCAUGGAAAACAUCAUGGCAAAGAAUUUUAAUAGGUAGCAUGAAUUAGUCAGAGGGUGGAGGAGAGGGGGGAACAAGCCCUGAGUCGUCCAAGGUAGAGUUUAUAGCAAAGGUUUGAGCGAAGAGUUCAGCUUUAGAAAUAGAUGUGAUAGCAAUAGUGCCAUCUGGUUGAAAUAAAGGAGGGAAAGAAGAAGAAGCAAAGUUAUUGAAGAUAUUUUUGGCCAGAUGCCAGAAGUCACGAGGGGAGUUAGAUCUUGAAAGGUUUUGACACUUUCUGUUAAUGAAGGAGUUUUUGGCUAGUUUGAGAACAGACUUGGCAUGGUUCCAGGCAGAAAUAUAAAGUGCAUGAGAUUCUGAUGAUGGAAGGCUUAAGUACCUUUUGUGGGCCACCUCUCUAUCAUGUAUAGCAUGAGAACAAGCUGUGUUAAACCAAGGUUUGGAAGGUCUAGGUCGAGAAAAACAGUGAGGAAUGUACGCCUCCGUGCCAGACACUAUCACCUCUGUUAUGUUCUCAACACACAAAGACAGGUCUCUGACAUGGAAGCAGAAGUCAUUCCAAGGAAAAUCAGCAAAAUACCUCCUCAGGUUCCCCCAACUAGCAGAGGCAAAAUGCCAGAGGCACCUUCGCUUAGGGGGAUCCUGAGGAGGGAUUAGAGCGAUAGGACAAGAUACAGAUAUGAGAUUGUGAUUGGAGGAGCCCAACGGAGAAGAAAGGGUGACAGCAUAAGCAGAAGGAUUAGAGGUCAGGAAAAGGUCAAGAAUGUUGGGCGUAUCUCCAAGAUGGUCAGGAAUACGAGUAGGGUGUUGCACUAAUUGCUCUAGGUUGUGGAGGACAGCAAAGUUGAAGGCUAGUUCACCAGGAUGGUCAGUGAAGGGAGAGGAAAGCCAAAGCUGGUGGUGAACACUGAACUGAACUGGAUGUUAAUCUCUAAUACCCUACAUUAGAAUCUUGAAAGAAAAGGAAGAAUUCCACUAGUAAUUCUGUUACAGAGGAAGGGCAUGGAUCACAAUCCCUUGACACACUAUCUACAGUAGAAAGAUGACUUUGCCUGGUAGAAAGAGAAAUUAUUAUAAAAUAUGAAUUUUUUGAGCACCAGCAUCAUUCAGUGGAAGUUAAUAAUAAAAUCAGUGAAAAAUGUGAAUGGUUUAAUUAAAUUUACAUCUUAUGCUUGCCUUGCAGUGUCUUUCACUGGCCAAUGUAAAUGAUAUUCCAUUGUUGUACACCAGUGGUUCCAGUUAAUUAAUGGAGUAAGUUGCUUUACAUUUCAGUACUAUGAGAAUUUUAUAUGUCAUUUAUGUGCCUUACUUUAUAUUUGGUUUAUAAAAUUGUGCAUAUUUCCACUUCAGUGUUUAACUGGUGUACGUCUACUGAUAUUUCAACACUAAGAGAACUCAAAAUAUUAUGUUUGUGCCAAGUCUUCAUGUUUCAUAAUCAGUUCAUGAAACUGAGAUUUGAUUUUUUUACUGAAGAAUGUCAUUAUGUUUUAGUUAUAUGGGAAUUUGAAAUACUAUGUACAUUUCAUAUCUUUAUAUCUAUACAUAUGUAUAGUUUAUGAAACUGUAUAUCAAAGUCAGUAGCUAACUAGAUCUAUUUUGUUCAUUUCAGUAUUAUGAACAUUUCUGAAAAUUUCAUGUCAUGUUUUUUAAUUUUUUACCUAGUUUUUGGAACUGUGUAAGUUUAUUUCAAUAAGUUGAUAAUUUUCCUAAU
Molecule: long non-coding RNA, 7021 nt
Organism: Scylla paramamosain (green mud crab)
Lineage: Eukaryota; Metazoa; Arthropoda; Malacostraca; Decapoda; Portunidae
Exons: 3
Source: RefSeq, a predicted model, not a curated record